RNAcentral lists this ribosomal RNA (443 nucleotides) under uncultured bacterium. Its description in RNAcentral is "partial 16S ribosomal RNA". It matches the Rfam family "Bacterial small subunit ribosomal RNA", at positions 338 to 795 of the family's 1533-position model. The record is from RNAcentral.
CCUACGGGGGGCAGCAGUGGGGAAUAUUGGACAAUGGGGGGAACCCUGAUCCAGCGACGCCGCGUGAGUGAAGAAGUAUUUCGGUAUGUAAAGCUCUGUCAGCAGGGAAGAAAGCAAUGACGGUACCUGACCAAGAAGCCCCGGCUAACUACGUGCCAGCAGCCGCGGUAAUACGUAGGGGGCAAGCGUUAUCCGGAAUUACUGGGGGUAAAGGGAGCGUAGACGGCUUGGCAAGUCUGGAGUGAAAGGCGGGGGCCCAACCCCCGGACUGCUCUGGAAACUGUAUGGCUGGAGUGCAGGGGAGGUAGGCGGAAUUCCUAGUGUAGCGGUGAAAGGCGUAGAUAUUAGGAGGAACACGAGUGGCGAAGGCGGCUUACUGGACUGUAACUGACGUGGAGGCUCGAAAGCGUGGGGAGCAAACAGGAUUAGAUACCCGAGUAGUC